AUUGAACGCUGGCGGCAUGCCUUACACAUGCAAGUCGAACGGCAGCACGGGAGCAAUCCUGGUGGCGAGUGGCGAACGGGUGAGUAAUGUAUCGGAACGUACCUUUCAGUGGGGGAUAACGUGGCGAAAGUUACGCUAAUACCGCAUAUUCUGUGUGCAGGAAAGCAGGGGAUCGCAAGACCUUGCGCUGAUUGAGCGGCCGAUAUCAGAUUAGCUAGUUGGUGAGGUAAAGGCUCACCAAGGCGACGAUCUGUAGCGGGUCUGAGAGGAUGAUCCGCCACACUGGAACUGAGACACGGUCCAGACUCCUACGGGAGGCAGCAGUGGAGAAUUUUGGACAAUGGGGGCAACCCUGAUCCAGCCAUGCCGCGUGAGUGAAGAAGGCC
This 386-nucleotide ribosomal RNA is filed under the name uncultured bacterium. RNAcentral describes it as "bacterial SSU rRNA". It matches the Rfam family "Bacterial small subunit ribosomal RNA", at positions 30 to 416 of the family's 1533-position model. The record is from RNAcentral.